This 253-nucleotide ribosomal RNA is filed under the name uncultured bacterium. Its description in RNAcentral is "partial 16S ribosomal RNA". It matches the Rfam family "Bacterial small subunit ribosomal RNA", at positions 524 to 776 of the family's 1533-position model. The record is from RNAcentral.
UACGUAGUGUGCAAGCGUUAAUCGGAAUUACUGGGCGUAAAGCGUGCGCAGGCGGUUUUGUAAGUCUGACGUGAAAUCCCCGGGCUCAACCUGGGAAUUGCGUUGGAGACUGCAAGGCUAGAAUCUGGCAGAGGGGGGUAGAAUUCCACGUGUAGCAGUGAAAUGCGUAGAGAUGUGGAGGAACACCGAUGGCGAAGGCAGCCCCCUGGGUCAAGAUUGACGCUCAUGCACGAAAGCGUGGGGAGCAAACAGG